Molecule: unclassified non-coding RNA, 469 nt
Filed under: Hevea brasiliensis (rubber tree)
Lineage: Eukaryota; Viridiplantae; Streptophyta; Magnoliopsida; Malpighiales; Euphorbiaceae
Source: RNAcentral
CAGCAAUCACCUAAGUCAGGUGGGAGCACAGAUAGCUAUGGGAAUUCAUCAUUCAAAGUUGAAAAUGAGUCGAGUUUGAUAGUAGAUUGUGCAAUUUUAUGGGAAGACAUAAGCCUAAAGGAGGAAAUUGGACGAGGUUCAUAUGGUGUUGUGUAUCAUGGAAUCUGGAAUGCGUCGGAUGUUGCUGUUAAGGUUUACUUUGGGAAUCAAUGCAGUGAGGAAACAUUGCUCGAGUACAAAAAGGAGGUUGAAAUAAUGAAAAGACUCAGGCAUCCUAACGUGUUGCUAUUCAUGGGGGCUGUGUAUUCUCAAGAAAAAUCUGCCAUCAUCACAGAGUUUUUACCCAGGGGAAGUCUUUUCAAAACACUCCAUGGAAAUAAUCAUUUAUUAGACUUCAGACGGCGUCUUAGGAUGGCCCUCGAUGUGGCAAGAGGUAUGAAUUAUUUGCAUCGCCGGAACCCACCUAUUG